AGGAACAUGUGGUUUAAUUCGAUGAUACGCGAGGAACCUUACCUGGGCUUAAAUGUAGAGUGCAUGGGGUAGAAAUAUCCCUUUCCUUCGGGACUCUUUGCAAGGUGCUGCAUGGUUGUCGUCAGCUCGUGCCGUGAGGUGUCGGGUUAAGUCCCAUAACGAGCGCAACCCUUAUCGUUAGUUGCCAGCGGGUCAUGCCGGGAACUCUAACGAAACUGCCGGUGUAAACCGAGAGGAAGUGGGGAUGACGUCAAAUCAGCACGGCCCUUAUGUCCAGGGCUACACACGUGUUACAAUGGCCGGUACAGAGGGCAGCUACCUGGAGACAGGAUGCGAAUCUCGAAAGCCGGUCUCAGUUCGGAUCGGAGUCUGCAACUCGACUGCAUGAAGUCGGAAUCGCUAGUAAUCGCGAAUCAGCAGGUCGCGGUGAAUACGUUCCCGGGCCUU
Molecule: ribosomal RNA, 447 nt
Filed under: uncultured Sphingobacteriales bacterium
Lineage: Bacteria; Pseudomonadati; Bacteroidota; Sphingobacteriia; Sphingobacteriales
Description: bacterial SSU rRNA
Rfam family: Bacterial small subunit ribosomal RNA
Source: RNAcentral